GUGCCAGCAGCCGCGGUAAUACGUAGGCAGCAAGCGUUGUUCGGAGUUACUGGGCGUAAAGGGUGUGUAGGCGGUUCUUUAAGUUUGGUGUGAAAUCUCCCGGCUCAACUGGGAGGGUGCGCCGAAUACUGAGGGACUAGAGUACGGGAGAGGAAAGUGGAAUUCCUGGUGUAGCGGUGAAAUGCGUAGAUAUCAGGAGGAACACCGGUGGUGUAGACGGCUUUCUGGACCGUAACUGACGCUGAGACACGAAAGCGUGGGUAGCAAACAGGAUUAGAUACCCGCGUAGUCC
This 292-nucleotide ribosomal RNA is filed under the name uncultured bacterium. Its description in RNAcentral is "partial 16S ribosomal RNA". It matches the Rfam family "Bacterial small subunit ribosomal RNA", at positions 505 to 796 of the family's 1533-position model. The record is from RNAcentral.